This 253-nucleotide ribosomal RNA is filed under the name uncultured bacterium. RNAcentral describes it as "partial 16S ribosomal RNA". It matches the Rfam family "Bacterial small subunit ribosomal RNA", at positions 524 to 776 of the family's 1533-position model. The record is from RNAcentral.
UACGUAGGGGGCAAGCGUUGUCCGGAUUUAUUGGGCGUAAAGAGCGUGUAGGCGGUUUGGUAGGUCCGCUGUGAAAACUCGAGGCUCAACUUCGAGACGCCGGUGGAAACCAUCAGACUAGAGUCCGGAAGAGGAGAGUGGAAUUCCUGGUGUAGCGGUGAAAUGCGCAGAUAUCAGGAAGAACACCCGUGGCGAAGGCGGCUCUCUAGUACGGUACUGACGCUGAGACGCGAAAGCGUGGGGAGCGAACAGG